This 253-nucleotide ribosomal RNA is filed under the name uncultured Dysgonomonas sp. Its description in RNAcentral is "partial 16S ribosomal RNA". It matches the Rfam family "Bacterial small subunit ribosomal RNA", at positions 524 to 776 of the family's 1533-position model. The record is from RNAcentral. Lineage: Bacteria; Pseudomonadati; Bacteroidota; Bacteroidia; Bacteroidales; Dysgonomonadaceae.
UACGGAGGAUGCGAGCGUUAUCCGGAUUUAUUGGGUUUAAAGGGUGCGCAGGCGGGCUUUUAAGUCAGCGGUGAAAUCUGGACGCUCAACGUUCAAAUUGCCGUUGAAACUGAUUGUCUUGAGUGUAAACGAAGUAGGCGGAAUUCGUUGUGUAGCGGUGAAAUGCAUAGAUAUAACGAGGAACCCCAAUUGCGUAGGCAGCUUACUAGGAUACAACUGACGCUCAAGCACGAAAGCGUGGGGAUCAAACAGG